CAACAGCUAGAGUUUGAUCCUGGCUCAGGACGAACGCUGGCGGCGUGCCUAACACAUGCAAGUCGUGCGGUCUCGCCUUAAGCGAAAGGCCUUCGGGCUUUGAAGCAAAGGCGAGAUAGCGGCGGACGGGUGAGUAACGCGUGGCUUAUCUGUCCCAGGGAGGGGGAUAACGUCUGGAAACGGGCGCUAAUACCCCAUAUGCCGAAAGGUAAAAAGGAGAAAUCCGCCCUGGGGUGAGGCCGCGUCCUAUCAGCUCGUUGGUGAGGUAACGGCCCACCAAGGCUAUGACGGGUAGCCGGCCUGAGAGGGCGGCUGGCCACACUGGGAUUGAGAUACGGCCCAGACUCCUACGGGAGGCAGCAGUGGGGAAUAUUGGGCAAUGGGGGAAACCCUGACCCAGCGACGCCGCGUGGAGGAAGGAGCCCUUCGGGGUGUAAACUCCUGUUGUAAGGGAAGAAGACAGUGACGGUACCUUACGAGGAAGCCCCGGCAAACUACGUGCC
Molecule: ribosomal RNA, 503 nt
Filed under: uncultured bacterium
Lineage: Bacteria
Description: bacterial SSU rRNA
Rfam family: Bacterial small subunit ribosomal RNA
Source: RNAcentral